UUCGGUACGAUCGGUGACAGGUGGUGCAUGGUGUCGUCAGCUCGUGUCGUGAGAUGUUGGGUUAAGUCCCGCAACGAGCGCAAUCCCUAUUGUUAGUUGCCAUCAUUCAGUUGGGCACUCUAGCGAGACUGCCGGUAAUAAACCGGAGGAAGGUGGGGAUGACGUCAAAUCAUCAUGCCCCUUAUGACCUGGGCUACACACGUGCUACAAUGGUUGGUACAACGAGUUGCGAGUCGGUGACGGCGAGCUAAUCUCUUAAAGCCAAUCUCAGUUCGGAUUGUAGGCUGCAACUCGCCUACAUGAAGUCGGAAUCGCUAGUAAUCGCGGAUCAGCACGCCGCGGUGAAUACGUUCCCGGGCCUU
RNAcentral lists this ribosomal RNA (362 nucleotides) under uncultured Streptococcus sp. RNAcentral's name for it is "bacterial SSU rRNA". It matches the Rfam family "Bacterial small subunit ribosomal RNA", at positions 1018 to 1382 of the family's 1533-position model. The record is from RNAcentral. Lineage: Bacteria; Bacillati; Bacillota; Bacilli; Lactobacillales; Streptococcaceae.